GUGUCAGCAGCCGCGGUAAAACGUAGGAGGCGAGCGUUAUCCGGAGUUACUGGGCGUAAAGCGCGUGCAGGCGGGUUAGUAAGUUGGUUAUGAAAGCUCCUGGCUAAACUGGGAGAGGCUGACCAAGACUGCUAGUCUGGAGUGGAAGAGAGGACGACGGAAUUCCGCGUGUAGUGGUGAAAUGCGUAGGGAUGCGGAGGAACACCAGUGGCGAAGGCGGUCGUCUGGCUUCCGACUGACGCUCAGACGCGAAAGCAUGGGGAGCGAACGGGAUUAGAAACCCCGGUAGUCCAGGCUGUAAACGAUGCACACUAGACGUGCGGCGCCUGUUGAGGUGCUGUGUGUCGUAGCUAACGCGCUAAGUGUGCCGCCUGGGGAGUACGGUCGCAAGGCUAAAACUUAAAGGAAUUGACGGGG
This 417-nucleotide ribosomal RNA is filed under the name uncultured prokaryote. Its description in RNAcentral is "partial 16S ribosomal RNA". It matches the Rfam family "Bacterial small subunit ribosomal RNA", at positions 505 to 918 of the family's 1533-position model. The record is from RNAcentral.